Molecule: ribosomal RNA, 1101 nt
Filed under: Triticum aestivum (bread wheat)
Lineage: Eukaryota; Viridiplantae; Streptophyta; Magnoliopsida; Poales; Poaceae
Description: partial small subunit ribosomal RNA
Source: RNAcentral
AUGGGAUUGCAGCCGCCGCCGCCGUUUCACUUCGGCCAUCUCAUCACCAUCAAGUUGUCGUCGGACAAUUACAUCUUCUGGCGCGCGCAGGUUCUUCCGCUUCUUGGGAGUCACUAUCUGCUUGGCUAUGUCGACGGCUCUCUCCCUUGCCCUCCUGCGCUGGUUGACAGCGUGCACGGUCCGGUCUAUAAUCCGGCUCACCGUGUCUGGACAGGGCAGGAUCAGGCGAACCUCUCCUCCAUCCAGGGGUCGCUCUCUCCGGCCGUUGCUGGGCUUGUUGUCUUCGCCAAGACGUCUCACGAGGCAUGGACUAUUCUUGAGCGCUCGUUUGCGGCACAGUCGCAGGCUCGUGUAUCUGGGCUCCGUCGCCAACUUGGGGAGUGUCAGAAGCUUGACUCCACCGCCACUGAGUUCUACAACAAAGUCAAGAGUCUCGCCGACACGCUGGCCUCCAUUGGACAGCCCCUCACCGACUCCGAGUUCAACUCGUUUAUUGUCAAUGGUCUUGAUGAGGAGUAUGACGCCCUAGUCGAGAUCAUCAAUGAGAGAGGCAACUCCACGCCCAUGCCAGCACACGAGGUCUUUUCACGCCUCCUGCUUACUGAGCAACGAGUCGAGACGCGCCGAUCCAGGGGCAACGGCGCCCUCUCGGCAAACGCCGCCACCAAGGGUGGUCGCUCCUCUGCUUCAUCCAGGGCUCCUUCGGGGCAGUCACCACCACCCGCCUCGGCCCCUCCUCCUACUGCGACGCUACCAGGGGCUGGCGGUCCACGUGUGUGCCAGCUUUGUGGUCGCGAUGGGCAUUGGGCCUCGAAGUGUCACAAGCGCUUCCAGCGGGGUUUUCUUGGUCUCGGCAAUGACGGGAAGGAUACACGCAACUUUGCUCGUCAGGUCGCCAUGGCUGAUCGUCCGCCGCCGCAGAAGCCACAGGGACACACUCAGUCCUACUCCAUUGAUCCCCACUGGUACAUGGACUCUGGGGCGACAGAGCACCUGACCAGUGAGAUGGGGAAGCUUCACACUCGUGAACCCUACCAUGGCUCCGACAAGAUCCACACCGCCAAUGGAGCAGGAUCGGGGCACGAGGGACAUUCUUCUUAG